CGCUGGCGGCGCGUCUUAAGCAUGCAAGUCGAACGGCAAGAGGUAGCAAUACCUCCUAGAGUGGCGGACUGGUGAGUAACACGUGGGUGACAUACCCUUCAGAUGGGGAUAGCUAUUAGAAAUAGUAGAUAAUACCGAAUACGAGCACAGGGGUUAGAGAUCUGUGAGGAAAGGAGCUAAGGCUCCGCUGAAGGAAUGGCCUGCGGCCCAUUAGCUAGUUGGUGAGGUAAGAGCCCACCAAGGCGAUGAUGGGUAUCCGGCCUUAGAGGGUGAACGGACACAUUGGGACUGAGAUACGGCCCAGACUCCUACGGGAGGCAGCAGCUAAGAAUAUUCCGCAAUGGACGAAAGCUGACGGAGCGACGCCGCCGUGGAUGAAGAAGGCCGGAAGGUUGUAAAAUCCUUUUGAAACUGAAGAAUAAGCGUUGUAGGGAAUGACAGCGUGGUGACAGUAGGUUUUGAAUAAGCAACGGCUAAUUACGUGCCAGCCGCCGC
RNAcentral lists this ribosomal RNA (495 nucleotides) under uncultured bacterium. RNAcentral describes it as "bacterial SSU rRNA". It matches the Rfam family "Bacterial small subunit ribosomal RNA", at positions 34 to 518 of the family's 1533-position model. The record is from RNAcentral.